CCUUGACCCUGUUGGCCAGGUAGCAGGGCGCAUUCCCAUCCCACAGCAAGAUCAAGUGGUCGACAGCCAAGUCAGGGGUCGUGGAGCUGCCCGACAGAGUCCGGGAGCAGUACCCUCUGUGGACUGGGGGCAGGAAGGCCUGCUUCCUCCCGCCCAGCUGGAGCGCGCGGCUGGGGUGAUGCGCGCGCGCCCGCCGCUCACCGCCGGCGGCCCUGGGCGGCCGACGACGGGAGGGCGCGACGCCGGGGCUGAGCCUCCCAGUCGCCUCAGAGGGUAACACACCCGUCCGCCUCGAGUAAAUGCAGAUUUCCAGAGCAGACUCCCGGGACCGACGGCGUUCUCACCAGGAAGAACCACUGGCGCUGGGAGUUCCCUCAUGUAGCACCAGCUCCCUGUCCGGUGACAAGACAUGUUCAGUAGAUACUUCUGAAUUAAAUGGAGUCUUCUGGGACUUCCCUGGUGGCGCAGUUGUUAAGAAUCUGCCUGCCAAGGCAGGGACACAGGUUCGAGCCCUGGUCCAGGAAGAU
Delphinapterus leucas (beluga whale) is the source of this 527-nucleotide non-coding RNA. Lineage: Eukaryota; Metazoa; Chordata; Mammalia; Artiodactyla; Monodontidae. The record is from RefSeq and is a predicted model, not a curated record.